Acipenser ruthenus (sterlet) is the source of this 2981-nucleotide RNA transcript. It is a transcript of the gene named tripartite motif-containing protein 16-like, with no coding region annotated. The transcript is spliced from 7 exons. NCBI's taxonomy places the organism in Eukaryota, Metazoa, Chordata, Actinopteri, Acipenseriformes, Acipenseridae. The record is from RefSeq and is a predicted model, not a curated record.
UCUGCUUAUUAAUGUCUGACAGGUGAACAGUCUUCCUCCCGGCCAGGAGAAUGCAGAAGGGGAGACAGCGCGUUUGAUGUGAUGUAAUGCUUGCAGUUCUGAGCGCUUCCACGGGCGGCGCUUCGGCGCUUUCAGAUCCUGUUUGUGACGCAAGUUCUGACAGAGCGAUUUCUACACCGAAGUUCUAUUUCCACUUCGAAGAAUAUACUUUAUUUGUGUGGGUGGUCUAGAAAGCCAGUGUAUAUCUGUUUUAUAUAUAUUUGAGCUAAUCCUAUUUAAAAGGUAUUGCCAAAAACAAACAAAAACAAAAACUGCAUGCAUAACAAAUCGACGUAGUAAGAGAGGAAGUAAAGUUUUCAAAAACACAAGAAGAUAGAUAGCGAUGGAUACCGGAGCCUCAGCGCCGGAUCCGUCAAAGGAAAAGUGUGAAGUGGAAAUGAAGAAACAGCCAGAGCCUCGACGAAAACGAAGACACAGUAAUGAGAUGGACCAUCCUCACAGUGACCACCAAUGACAUUAUGUAUGGGAUAAUGUAUACCAGAGCCGUCGCGAGGGAGAAGGAACGGCAGCAUAUGAGGGACGCAUCACAAUCACAUAACCCAAGAGUUAGCGGUGUGAAGUUACACCAGCGGUGGCCAAUACAUGGAUCCCUAUCCACGAGUGGAUCGCAAAAGAUUUUUGGUGGAUCUCAGGACAAAUCGGAACAAGCACUAGCAUGAUGCAGGGGAACUGAUGGCAGGCAAGACUGCAUUAACAGGGAGCCAGGAGUUCAAACAUGAAAAUAUAUUAAAUACAGUGCUUCAAAACGGCACGCAGUGUGCGGAGAGGCAGCCCAUCCCGCUACCAUAAACAGCAAGCAGCGCAUUCUGAGGAACAUGUAGCUUACUGGUGGAUCGCGGAGCCCUUUGAGAUCCACCAAAAUGGAUUGCAGUGUUUUGUGUAUUGGCCACCACUGCCUUAGGUCACCCAGCGGAGCCAUGAGAACCGGAACUGUCCUGGUGACUGUCCACGAUUGAGGAGCUCGCUUGCGGUUCGACCUGUCCCAUGCGGGAGCGCGGGGAGAGAGCAACGCGAACACCUGCUGGGACGCCUCGCAUUCCCGGUGGGAUCUCUGCAAGAUCUCCUCCACAGCUGGCCCAAAGUGAAUGAAGGUGCAGUUGACAGUCUGCAGGCUCCAAAGCCAAGGAACAGAGCUGAGUUUUUAAAAUAUUCCUGUCAGCUCACACUGGACCCCAACACAGCGUAUAGAGAGCUCUGUCUGUCUGAAGGGAAUAGAAAGGUGACACGGAGGAGAGAGACCCAGAGGUAUCCUGAUGAUCACCAAGAGAGAUUUGAGAGCUAUCCCCAAGUGCUGUGCAGAGAGGGUUUGUCUGGGACUCGCUGUUACUGGGAGAUUGAGUGCAGUGGGGGAGGGGCUGCUAUAGGAGUCACAUAUAAAGAAAUCAGCAGGAAAGGAGGGGAUUCCUGUGGCCUUGGAUUCAAUGACAAGUCCUGGAGUUUGCUCUGCUCUGGUUCCAGUUACACUGCCCGGCACAAUAACAAUGAAACUGCAAUAACUGCCCCCCGCUCCCCCAGAAUAGGAGUGUAUCUGGACUUUAAUGCCGGCACGCUGUCCUUUUAUGGCGUCUCUGACACAAUGACCCUCCUGCACAGAUUCCAAACCACAUUCACUGAGCCGCUCUAUCCUGGGUUUUGGGUUUGGGAUUAUGAAUCCCCUGUAACAAUCUGCCAGCUGAACUAGACUGUUUUGUGUUGUAAGAAACCCUUUGUAUUGAACUCCCUGUCUGUCCUCUCCACUCCUCGGGUGAAGGGAAUGUUCAAUCUGACACAACUUUGGAUGAAAGUUAGGGGGUAAAACGGCGCCACCUGCAGAGCGAAACUAGGGAAUUAUUUGUUUUUAUGCUUGUGGCAUAACAUUUGUAAUUGUAAACACUCACACCUGGACAGCUGUUUCAGCAUAAAACGUUCAAUAUGUCGUGAGUAUGAGAAGUAUCUCUUAAGGUGAUUGUAGCUCACUAAAUAAUUCCACACUGUGUUCCUAUAUUGCACUUCCAUGGCUACACAGGACUCAAAUGUGCAGGUUUGAAAAACAUGAUGGGCAAGAUUCUCAGAAAUCCAUGAUCUUGUUUCGAAUGGGAUUUUGUGUCUCAAAUGGAUAUUUAUAGUAUAUAGCUGAACUAUCUGGGAUUUAGGUACAUCUUGCAAAUCUAUAACCCGUGAGGCUUCAUACAUACCUUUAUACAGAAAAGCAAUAGGUACAAGAUGCCUUUUCCUCAUGUUAUAAUUGUAAAUUAGUUUAAAUAUUAGUUUAAAUAUAGUUUGUAAAUUAUCUCAUUGGAAAUGGUUGCAUAUUUACUCUUGACUUGCAUUUAAUUAGAUGUAUCGGGUCUACUCGUCAGGCAGUUCAAAGUUUCAAUAUUAUAAUUGUUUACUUAUUUUAACUAUAAUGUGAGUGAAAUAUCAUCACAAGAAAGAAGACAUUUCCAUGGAUAAAGUAAAUCACAUUCAAUUUGCAUUACAUGUGCAAUCUGCCCACAGUGGAAAGGCAGAAACGUGUUUUAAGCCUGGCCUUUGUCGCCCUCUUCAGGACAAACUCUGCAGCUGCGCAGAGCCUGAUUGAAAGCAAUUCUUUUCACUUGGUGUGGUUCCAUUGGAAAUGUAGGGCUCUAUUCACACAACCUUCAGGACUGUUCCAAGCACUGUUUGGUUAAAGACGCUUUAUAGUUUAAAUCAGGUUGUUUAGAGAGGGGGAGCAGUUUACUGUUUAUUAAUUUUAUUGUUUAUUAUUCAAAGCACCAUUUAAGGUCAACACUUUAUAAUCAGGUUUCAAAUUAAAACCAAAAUAUGAAUGUAAAGAAGGACCAUUUUAAUAACCAUUUUUUUUUUUUAUGUUUCUGUACUUCAAUUAAUGCAAACGUUUUUUUCAUGUACUUUUUCUUUAAAUGUUUUGUAAAGUUUUAAUUUUCAAUAAAUGAUUUGUU